UACGGAGGGUGCAAACGUUGCUCGGAAUCAUUGGGCGUAAAGAGCGUGUAGGCGGCCCGAUUAGUCCGCUGUGAAAGUCCAGGGCUCAACCCUGGAAUGCCGGUGGAUACUGUCGGGCUAGAGUCCGGAAGGGGCGAGUGGAAUUCCUGGUGUAGCGGUGAAAUGCGCAGAUAUCAGGAGGAACACCAAUGGCGAAGGCAGCUCGCUGGGACGUGACUGACGCUGAGACGCGAAAGCGUGGGGAGCAAACAGG
Molecule: ribosomal RNA, 253 nt
Filed under: uncultured bacterium
Lineage: Bacteria
Description: partial 16S ribosomal RNA
Rfam family: Bacterial small subunit ribosomal RNA
Source: RNAcentral